GCAGACACAUUCCAGCCAAUCAGCAGCAGACCCUCCCUCCCAGACCCUCCCGCCUCCUGGACAGCAUCCAUUUUGAAGCUGCAUUCUUAGUGAGCUGUCCAGAAGGUGGGAGGGUCUGGGAGGGAGGGUCUGCUGCUGAUUGGCUGGAAUGUGUCUG
This 157-nucleotide microRNA precursor is filed under the name Pelobates cultripes (western spadefoot toad). The record is from RNAcentral. Lineage: Eukaryota; Metazoa; Chordata; Amphibia; Anura; Pelobatidae.